ACUCCUACGGGAGGCAGCAGUGGGGAAUAUUGCACAAUGGGCGCAAGCCUGAUGCAGCAACGCCGCGUGAGCGAUGAAGGCCUUCGGGUCGUAAAGCUCUGUCCUCAAGGAAGAAUAAAUGACGGUACUUGAGGAGGAGCCCGGCUAACUACGUGCCAGCAGCCGCGGUAAUACGUAGGGGGCAAGCGUUAUCCGGAAUCACUGGGGCGUAAAGGGGUGCGUAGGCGGUUUUCAAGUCAGAAGUGAAAGGCUAUGGCUCAACCAUAGUAAGCUUUUGAAACUGUUAAACUUGAGUGCAGGAGAGGAAAGUGGAAUUCCUAGUGUAGAGGUGAAAUUCGUAGAUAUUAGGAGGAACACCAGUGGCGAAGGCGACUUUCUGGACUGUAACUGACGCUGAGGCACGAAAGCGUGGGGAGCGAACAGGAUUAGAUACCCUGGUAGCACAGAG
Molecule: ribosomal RNA, 448 nt
Filed under: uncultured bacterium
Lineage: Bacteria
Description: bacterial SSU rRNA
Rfam family: Bacterial small subunit ribosomal RNA
Source: RNAcentral